CCAAUGGUUACACCUCUCACACUAUUGCAUGUUGUCUGGGUGGCUGGGUAGGGGACACAUUACUAUUUCUUCAGUCCAUGUGUCUGCCGGCCAAGGGGGACUCAAAGAGCAACGCUUGAAGAAUCUCACCCAAGAAUCUCAUCUGUUCCUGAUUUGGAUGCUGAAGUUUUAAAUUAUGAGCCGUAAUAUGAGACUUCGGGAGGAGGAAUCCAGCCACCACGUAAGGACAUGCAAGGGGCCCUCUGGGGAAGUCCACACGGUGAGGAGUGGAGGCCUCCCACCAAAAGCCAGCCCCAGUACACCAGCUACAUUAGUCACCCAUCUUGGAAGAAGAGCCUCCAGCCAGUCAAGCACGUAGAUGACCGCAGCCCCACCAACCUCUUAGCUGCAACAAAUGAGAAAUCUCUCUUCAGCCAAGUCACUCCCGAAUUCUCGACCCGCAGAACCUAUGUGAGCUAAUAAAUGUUAAUUGUUGCAUUGA
Molecule: long non-coding RNA, 481 nt
Organism: Hyaena hyaena (striped hyena)
Lineage: Eukaryota; Metazoa; Chordata; Mammalia; Carnivora; Hyaenidae
Exons: 2
Source: RefSeq, a predicted model, not a curated record